Molecule: ribosomal RNA, 394 nt
Filed under: uncultured bacterium
Lineage: Bacteria
Description: bacterial SSU rRNA
Rfam family: Bacterial small subunit ribosomal RNA
Source: RNAcentral
AUUGAACGCUGGCGGUAGGCCUAACACAUGCAAGUCGAACGCGAAAGUCCUUCGGAUGAGUAGAGUGGCGGACGGGUGAGUAACGCGUAGGAAUCUAUCCUGUAGUGGGGGAGUAACGUUUCGAAAGGAACGCUAAUACCGCAUACGCCCCAAGGGGGAAAGGCGGGGAGUCUUCGGACCUCGUGCUAUAGGAGGAGCCUGCGUCGGAUUAGCUAGUUGGUGAGGUAAAGGCUCACCAAGGCGACGAUCCGUAGCUGGUCUGAGAGGAUGAUCAGCCACACCGGAACUGAGACACGGUCCAGACUCCUACGGGAGGCAGCAGUGGGGAAUCUUGGACAAUGGGGGAAACCCGUAGAUCCAGCCAUGCCGCGUGAGUGAUGAAGGCCUACGGGUC